RNAcentral lists this ribosomal RNA (990 nucleotides) under uncultured bacterium. Its description in RNAcentral is "bacterial SSU rRNA". It matches the Rfam family "Bacterial small subunit ribosomal RNA", at positions 46 to 1037 of the family's 1533-position model. The record is from RNAcentral.
GCGGCUAUCAUGCAGUUCGAGGGGCAGCACGGUAGCAAUACUGGUGGCGACCGGCAAACGGGUGCGGAACACGUACGCAACCUUCCUUUAAGUGGGGGAUAGCCCAUAGAAAUGUGGAUUAAUACCUCGUAAUAUUGUUGGUCGGCAUCGACUGACAAUUAUAGCUCCGGCGCUUAAAGAUGGGCGUGCGCCUGAUUAGGUAGUUGGUGAGGUAACGGCUCACCAAGCCAACGAUCAGUAACUGGCGUGAGAGCGCGACCAGUCACACGGGCACUGAGACACGGGCCCGACUCCUACGGGAGGCAGCAGUAAGGAAUGUUGGUCAAUGGACGCAAGUCUGAACCAGCCAUGCCGCGUGGAGGAUGAAGGUCCUCUGGAUUGUAAACUUCUUUUAUUUGGGAAGAAACCUCUCUAUUCCUAGAGAGUUGACGGUACCAAGUGAAUAAGCACCGGCUAACUCCGUGCCAGCAGCCGCGGUAAUACGGAGGGUGCAAGCGUUAUCCGGAUUCACUGGGUUUAAAGGGUGCGUAGGCGGAUAUGUAAGUCCGUGGUGAAAUCUCUGAGCUUAACUCGGAAACUGCCAUGGAUACUAUAUAUCUUGAAUGUUGUGGAGGUUUGCGGAAUAUGUCAUGUAGCGGUGAAAUGCUUAGAUAUGACAUAGAACACCGAUUGCGAAGGCAGCAGGCUACACAAAUAUUGACGCUGAGGCACGAAAGCGUGGGGAUCAAACAGGAUUAGAUACCCUGGUAGUCCACGCCCUAAACGAUGAUUACUCGACAUUUGCGAUAUACAGUAAGUGUCUGAGCGAAAGCAUUAAGUAAUCCACCUGGGAAGUACGACCGCAAGGUUGAAACUCAAAGGAAUUGACGGGGGUCCGCACAAGCGUGGACAUGUGGUUUAAUUCGAUGAUACGCGAGGAACCUUACCUGGGCUAGAAUGCUGGGGGACCGGUCCUGAAAGGGACCUUUGUAGCAAUACACCGCCAGUAAG